Molecule: ribosomal RNA, 908 nt
Filed under: uncultured bacterium
Lineage: Bacteria
Description: bacterial SSU rRNA
Rfam family: Bacterial small subunit ribosomal RNA
Source: RNAcentral
ACGCUAGCUACAGGCUUAACGCAUGCAAGUCGAGGGGAAACGGCAUUUAGUGCUUGCACUGAAUGGACGUCGACCGGCGCACGGGUGAGUAACGCGUAUCCAACCUUCCCAUUACUUUGGGAUAACCUGCCGAAAGGCAGACUAAUACCUCAUAGUCUUCGAUGACGGCAUCAGAUUUGAAGUAAAGAUUUAUCGGUAAUGGAUGGGGAUGCGUCUGAUUAGCUUGUUGGCGGGGUAACGGCCCACCAAGGCAACGAUCAGUAGGGGUUCUGAGAGGAAGGUCCCCCACAUUGGAACUGAGACACGGUCCAAACUCCUACGGGAGGCAGCAGUGAGGAAUAUUGGUCAAUGGACGUAAGUCUGAACCAGCCAAGUAGCGUGCAGGAUGACGGCCCUGUGGGUUGUAAACUGCUUUUGUAUGGGGAUAAAGUCAAUCACGUGUGAUUGUUUGCAGGUACCAUACGAAUAAGGACCGGCUAAUUCCGUGCCAGCAGCCGCGGUAAUACGGAAGGUUCGGGCGUUAUCCGGAUUUAUUGGGUUUAAAGGGAGCGUAGGCCGGAGAUUAAGUGUGUUGUGAAAUGUAGACGCUCAACGUCUGAAUUGCAGCGCAUACUGGUUUCCUUGAGUACGCACAACGUUGGCGGAAUUCGUCGUGUAGCGGUGAAAUGCUUAGAUAUGACGAAGAACUCCGAUAGCGAAGGCAGCUGACGGGAGCGCAACUGACGCUGAAGCUCGAAGGUGCGGGUAUCGAACAGGAUUAGAUACCCUGGUAGUCCGCACAGUAAACGAUGGAUGCCCGCUGUUGGUACCUAGUAUCAGCGGCUAAGCGAAAGCAUUAAGCAUCCCACCUGGGGAGUACGCCGGCAACGGUGAAACUCAAAGGAAUUGACGGGGGCCCGCACAAGCGG